RNAcentral lists this ribosomal RNA (520 nucleotides) under uncultured Glomeromycotina. RNAcentral describes it as "SSU rRNA". It matches the Rfam family "Eukaryotic small subunit ribosomal RNA", at positions 569 to 1092 of the family's 1831-position model. Lineage: Eukaryota; Fungi; Glomeromycota. The record is from RNAcentral.
AGCAGCCGCGGUAAUUCCAGCUCCAAUAGCGUAUAUUAAAGUUGUUGCAGUUAAAAAGCUCGUAGUUGAAUUUCGGGAUCAAUAUGUCGGUCGUGCCUUCGGUACGUACUGGUAUCAUUGGUUUCUCCUUUCUGACGAAUCAUGAUGUCAUUAAUUUGGUGUUAUGGGGAGUUAGGACUGUUACUUUGAAAAAAUUAGAGUGUUUAAAGCAGGCUUUAGCUUGAAUACAUUAGCAUGGAAUAAUGAAAUAGGACGUUCGAACCUAUUUUGUUGGUUUCUAGGAUCAACGUAAUGAUUAAUAGGGAUAGUUGGGGGCAUUAGUAUUCAAUUGUCAGAGGUGAAAUUCUUGGAUUUAUUGAAGACUAACUACUGCGAAAGCAUUUGCCAAGGAUGUUUUCAUUAAUCAAGAACGAAAGUUAGGGGAUCGAAGACGAUCAGAUACCGUCGUAGUCUUAACCAUAAACUAUGCCGACUAGGGAUCGGAUGAUGUUAUUUUUAAUGACUCAUUCGGCGCCUUACG